This 391-nucleotide long non-coding RNA is filed under the name Actinidia chinensis (golden kiwifruit). RNAcentral describes it as "long non-coding RNA (ACHI_LNC009657)". The record is from RNAcentral. Lineage: Eukaryota; Viridiplantae; Streptophyta; Magnoliopsida; Ericales; Actinidiaceae.
UUAUGUUUCCUUUUCCAUUGCAGAUUUUUGGGAUCUUAGGCUUUGUUUGGAACUUGUGGAAAGAAAAAAGAAAGGGUAAAAAUAUAGAUAAAAAAUUGACUGGAAAAAGAAAGCGAAUUUUCUUUGUUCAAUUUUAGAAAAAAGAGGGGUGGAAAUAAAAAAAAGCACUUAAAUAAACAACAAGAAAGGGCAAGAAAGUCAAAAAAAUGUGGUAGACAAAAUUUCAAAAUAUGAAGAAAAAUUAGGAGCCUAACAAAGAGUCCGGAUUUGCUGCGGGACAUGGUCUUGUCCCAAUCCUAAAUGGAUGACACCUAUUCAUUUGUAAUUUAUCAGGAAAUAUUGUGUAAUUUAUAAAUUAAAAAUGCACAGUAUCAUCCAUUUGGGGCUAGAA